Molecule: long non-coding RNA, 1173 nt
Filed under: Phasianus colchicus (ring-necked pheasant)
Lineage: Eukaryota; Metazoa; Chordata; Aves; Galliformes; Phasianidae
Description: lncRNA (ENSPCLG00000020577.1)
Source: RNAcentral
AUGCUCCCUGGGACUGCAGCAAGCGAGUUGUCAUGGCAGCGUGAUGCUCUGUGCAUGGGCUCACUGCAGCAGGUUCCCCUCCUUGCUCUGUGCACCUUCACUUUAUGCCAUGCCAUCCAGCAUGCCUGGGGUUCAAGAGCCAAAUCCUAUGUGAGGCUUUUGAAGUAUUAUGAAGAAUAUGAAGUUCAGUGUUUUACCAUCAGAACCCAAAGACCACUGUCAGUCCAUAUGGAACCUUACGAGCCUUUUCUGGAGUAUCCUUCAACUCCUGGCCUAGGAACUCCAUUUCAACCUAACCUGGGGCCAUCAGUCCCUGCCCCACCGAUGCAGAAGGAUGCUGAUCUCCAGCUCUGCCACAGUACUAUCCUGCCUGGACAUGUGUUACACUGAGACCUUCUCAGACUUCUGAGACAUCUAAGAUAAACAGUGCUUGUUGUAGAAAUUCUUACAACAUUAUACACAAUGCAUUUUCUCUGUGAGGAGGCCUUUGAAAAACAAACUUUCUAUUAUUGUCCUUUAGACUGGAGUAGUAGGGAAAACUGUGCUUGUUUACUUUCUGAUGAGUUCUGCACAUAUCUUCAUAGAUGCCAGUUGUCCUGUUUCUAUGAGCCUUUGUCCAGGAAGAAAAUCAGGGAAGCCAAAUGAAGUUACAUGGUUCGACUGUUACCAGAAGAGGAGAAAGAGAAGAGUGUGGUUGUCUGCUAUAUAUGGAAGCCUGGCGGGGUGUCAGCAGAAGGCUGAGGACAGAGAUGGUGGUAACAAGCCACCUAUUUAAGAAAAGGAAAAUGUGUCCACGUGGCAAAGAUCUGUUCUGUGGAAAUCAAAAGACAAGGUUUAUACUGUACAUCUCCCUUGAGAUUUGAGCUUCAAGGUUCGAGCUUCAAGGUUCAAGUUCCUCAGGCUGAGGAAAUCAACAUGGGCUACUGAAGGUAUUCCUGUGCUUGGGAGUCUGGCACUCUGUUAUCUGGGUUCCUCUGCCUAGGGGAGUACAAGCUUCCCAGUGUGGCAGACUGCCACGCUCAGGAUGUUAGUCUUACACACGACGCAUGGGCUAUGGGAACAGAUGGCCUUACCAACUACAUCCUAUGUCUGCAUUGGCAGAGAUGUUUGUACUAUCAAUAGCUCCUGGGAAAUUAAGCUGUUAGCGAGCAAAAUGUGGCUUCUCUAUUGUUC